Long non-coding RNA from Gigantopelta aegis, 891 nucleotides. RefSeq lists it as uncharacterized. NCBI's taxonomy places the organism in Eukaryota, Metazoa, Mollusca, Gastropoda, Neomphalida, Peltospiridae. The record is from RefSeq and is a predicted model, not a curated record. The transcript is spliced from 2 exons.
CAUAAGUAUGUGAAGGGUAUCGCCCUCUGACGUCUAUGAGCAUAUGUAGCAUGUACAAGAAAACAUUCGUGUACUAUUAAGAUGACGAAGCGGUCACAAAGGUUAGCUAGAGCUAGUGUGAAUUUCGCCCAGACAGAGUUCUGAGUGUUUGCUUCUGGAAGUCCUUGCUCUGGCGUGUCUGCCCUGGAAGUCCUUGCUCUGGCGUGUCUGCCCUGGAAGUCCUUGCUCUGGCGUGUCUGCCCUGGAAGUCCUUGCUCUGGCAUGUCUGCCCUGGAAGUCCUAGCUCUGGCGUGUCUGCCCUGGAAGUCCUUGCUCUGGCGUGUCUGCCCUGGAAGUCCUAGCUCUGGCGUGUCUGCCCUGGAAGUCCUAGCUCUGGCGUGUCUGCCAUGGAAGUCCUUGCACUGGCGUGUCUGCCCUGGAAGUCCUAGCUUUGGCGUGUCUACCAGUUUCCAUGUGGAACUGAUGCAUGCACUUGCCGGUUCAAAUUUGGUGCUAGAAUAAUAUUAUUUGGGAAGAUAGAUUAUGUUCGUUGUGUGAUAUCAGAUAAAUUGCAGAUAAUACCAUUAUUUAUCAUAUAAUAGCAUAUCCACUGUAAUCAAAGUACAUUGUAUGUGAUAUUUUUCAGCUCACAUACUUUCAGAAUUGGAUAACUUUGCAAAGCAGAUGUAAAUUAAUCGAGGUCACGGCACUACGUUCGUUGGCAUUUAACAGUCGUCAAACAACUUUAAAUGUUGUCCAGCGUUCUGAAAAAAAAACACGUCAUUCACUAGUUUAUUUUAUGUUAGGAUAUCCGACGUCGUUCCCAUUCAAAACGACACUGCAUCAAAUAUCCAUUCGUCAUUUGGAUAUAGAUUGAUGGCUGACUGGAAUUAUAGUUGCAUAUACAGUUGA